RNAcentral lists this ribosomal RNA (579 nucleotides) under uncultured bacterium. RNAcentral's name for it is "partial 16S ribosomal RNA". It matches the Rfam family "Bacterial small subunit ribosomal RNA", at positions 355 to 926 of the family's 1533-position model. The record is from RNAcentral.
UGGGGAAUUUUGGACAAUGGGCGAAAGCCUGAUCCAGCAAUGCCGCAUGUGUGAAGAAGGCCUUCGGGUUGUAAAGCACUUUUGUCCGGAAAGAAAUCCUUGGCUCUAAUACAGUCGGGGGAUGACGGUACCGGAAGAAUAAGCACCGGCUAACUACGUGCCAGCAGCCGCGGUAAUACGUAGGGUGCAAGCGUUAAUCGGAAUUACUGGGCGUAAAGCGUGCGCAGGCGGUUUGCUAAGACCGAUGUGAAAUCCCCGGGCUCAACCUGGGAACUGCAUUGGUGACUGGCAGGCUAGAGUAUGGCAGAGGGGGGUAGAAUUCCACGUGUAGCAGUGAAAUGCGUAGAGAUGUGGAGGAAUACCGAUGGCGAAGGCAGCCCCCUGGGCCAAUACUGACGCUCAUGCACGAAAGCGUGGGGAGCAAANCAGGAUUAGAUACCCUGGUAGUCCACGCUCUAAACGAUGCCAACUAGUUGUUGGGGAUUCAUUUCCUUAGUAACGUAGCUAACGCGUGAAGUUGACCGCCUGGGGAGUACGGUCGCAAGAUUAAAACUCAAAUGAAUUGACGGGGUCAUAGCU